Molecule: ribosomal RNA, 235 nt
Filed under: uncultured bacterium
Lineage: Bacteria
Description: partial 16S ribosomal RNA
Rfam family: Bacterial small subunit ribosomal RNA
Source: RNAcentral
CGGACGGGUGAGUAACGCGUGGAUAACCUGCCUCACACUGGGGGAUAACAGUUAGAAAUGGCUGCUAAUACCGCAUAAGCGCACAGUACCGCAUGGUACGGUGUGAAAAACCCAGGUGGUGUGAGAUGGAUCCGCGUCUGAUUAGCCAGUUGGCGGGGUAACGGCCCACCAAAGCGACAAUCAGUAGCCGACCUGAGAGGGUGACCGGCCACAUUGGGACUGAGACACGGCCCAA